RNAcentral lists this long non-coding RNA (307 nucleotides) under Carica papaya (papaya). RNAcentral describes it as "long non-coding RNA (CPAP_LNC009512)". Lineage: Eukaryota; Viridiplantae; Streptophyta; Magnoliopsida; Brassicales; Caricaceae. The record is from RNAcentral.
AGUCAAAUAUAUUACAUAGUCUUUGAGUCACAAGCAAAGGAAGAGCUAAUGUACGGUGAAAUUGAUUGUCACUCAUAUGACCAAAAAGGACCUAGGAUCCAAGCGCUGCUGGUAUAGAUGGAAAAAACUAGGUCAGAAUCCCUAAAUCAAGAGAGAAAUACAGGGAAAUUCCACUGCAAUUCCAAUGUCAAAAGGGCACAUUCCAGGAUAUCCAAGUCAUACCGAUACCAUGCAACAGCAUCAACUUGCUAAUAAAUGUAGCCGAAAACUAGUUCCUAGUAUAUCUCAAUUACCACUUCUACCUGAA